RNAcentral lists this ribosomal RNA (253 nucleotides) under uncultured bacterium. RNAcentral's name for it is "partial 16S ribosomal RNA". It matches the Rfam family "Bacterial small subunit ribosomal RNA", at positions 524 to 776 of the family's 1533-position model. The record is from RNAcentral.
UACGUAGGGCGCAAGCGUUAUCCGGAAUUAUUGGGCGUAAAGAGCUCGUAGGCGGUUUGUCGCGUCUGCCGUGAAAGUCCGGGGCUCAACUCCGGAUAUGCGGUGGGUACGGGCAGACUAGAGUGAUGUAGGGGAGACUGGAAUUCCUGGUGUAGCGGUGAAAUGCGCAGAUAUCAGGAGGAACACCGAUGGCGAAGGCAGGUCUCUGGGCAUUAACUGACGCUGAGGAGCGAAAGCAUGGGGAGCGAACAGG